CUUGGAAGCAGCCAUUCAUUUAAAGAGUGCGUAACAGCUCACUAGUCGAGCGAUCCCGCGUGGAUAAUACACGGGCAUAAAACUGUCAACCGAAGCCGUGGGGUUAGCUUUAUUGCUAACCGGUAGGAGAGCAUUCCUGCCAGCUUAGAAGGUCACCCGCGAGAGUGACUGGAGCGGCAUGAAAAGCAAAUGUAGGCAUAAGUAACGAUAAUGGGGGCGAGAACCCCCCACGCCGCAAGACCAAGGAUUCCCCGGCAAUGUCAAUCAGCCGGGGGUCAGCCGGCCUCUAAGGCUAACCCGAAGGGGGACGCCGACGAGAAACGGGUUAACAUUCCCGUGCUUCUCGUCACCGUGACGCGGUGACGGGGUGAUGAAUGGACCGCGCGCAGACGGAAUAGCGCGUUGAAGGCCGUACCCUUUGAGGGUGGUAGUCAAGCACGCCACCCGAGGCGAAAGCCGAUAGUACCUCGAGGCCUCGGCCGAGGGGAUAGCGUCCAGGCAAUUAACCCCCUAGAAAACCCGCUAAACUUCAAGUGACGAGGAACCGUACCGUAAACGGACACACGUGGUCGGGUAGAACAUACCAAGGCGCUCGAGUGAUUCAUGGUCAAGGAACUAGGCAAAAUAGUCCUGUAACUUCGGGAAAAAGGACGCUCUAGUGAUAGAGCCGCAGAGUAAUGGCCCAGGCGACUGUUUACCAAAAACACAUGGCUAUGCCAAAUCGAAAGAUGACGUAUAUGGCCUGACACCUGCCCGGUGCCGGAAGGUUAAGAGGAGAGCUCAUCAGUAAUGAGAAGGUUUGAAUUGAAGCCCCGGUAAACGGCGGCCGUAACUAUAACGGUCCUAAGGUAGCGAAAUUCCUUGUCGGGUAAGUUCCGACCUGCACGAAUGGUGUAACGAUCUGGGCACUGUCUCGACCAUGAGCUCGGUGAAAUUGUAGUUCCGGUGAAGAUGCCGGGUACCCGCGACGGGACGGAAAGACCCCGUGAACCUUUACUGCAGCUUCGCGUUGUUCCCGGGCACGGGACGUGUAGGAUAGGUCGGAGGCAAUGAAUCGGUUUCGCCAGGAAUCGAGGAGCCAUCGUUGAAAUACGACCCUUCUCUUGUCUGGGAUCUAACCCUAGGUACAGGGGACACCGCGUGGUGGGUAGUUUGACUGGGGUGGUCGCCUCCAAAAGCGUAACGGAGGCUUCCAAAGGUACCCUCGGGUUGGUUGGUAAUCAACCUCAGAGUGCAAUGGCACAAGGGUGCUUGACCGGGAGACCAACGAGUCGAUCGGGUGCGAAAGCAGGGCAUAGUGAUCCGGUGAUCCCGCGUGGAAGGGUCAUCGCUCAAAGGAUAAAAGGUACUCCGGGGAUAACAGGCUGAUCGCCCCCAAGAGCUCAUAUCGACGGGGCGGUUUGGCACCUCGAUGUCGGCUCGUCACAUCCUGGGGCUGGAGAAGGUCCC
RNAcentral lists this ribosomal RNA (1449 nucleotides) under human gut metagenome. Its description in RNAcentral is "bacterial LSU rRNA". It matches the Rfam family "Bacterial large subunit ribosomal RNA", at positions 1105 to 2566 of the family's 2925-position model. The record is from RNAcentral.